Molecule: ribosomal RNA, 279 nt
Filed under: uncultured bacterium
Lineage: Bacteria
Description: partial 16S ribosomal RNA
Rfam family: Bacterial small subunit ribosomal RNA
Source: RNAcentral
UGCCAGCAGCCGCGGUAAUUCCAGAGCCCCGAGCGUUAUCCGAAAUUACUGGGCGUAAAGGGUGCGUAGGUGGUUGUAUUAGUCGUGAGUUAAAGACUCGAGCUCAACUCGAGGAAGGCUCACGAAACGGUACGACUAGAGUGUAGGAGAGGUAUACGGAACUCUCGGUGUAGGGGUGAAAUCCGUUGAUAUCGAGGGGAACACCAAAUGCGAAGGCAGUAUACUGGCCUAUCACUGACACUGAGGCACGAAACCCUGGGUAGCGAAUGGGAUUAGAUA